UGGGAAACUGCCUUUGUGACUGCAUAGCUAGAGUACGGUAGAGGGGGGAUGGAAUUCCGCGUGUAGCAGUGAAAUGCGUAGAUAUGCGGAGGAACACCGAUGGCGAAGGCAAUCCCCUGGACCUGUACUGACGCUCAUGCACGAAAGCGUGGGGAGCAAACAGGAUUAGAUACCCUGGUAGUCCACGCCCUAAACGAUGUCAACUGGUUGUUGGGAGGGUUUCUUCUCAGUAACGUAGCUAACGCGUGAAGUUGACCGCCUGGGGAGUACGGCCGCAAGGUUGAGACUCAAAGGAAUUGACGGGGACCCGCACAAGCGGUGGAUGAUGCGGUUUAAUUCGAUGCAACGCGAAAAACCUUACCUACCCUUGACAUGUCUGGAAUCCUGAAGAGAUUUGGGAGUGCUCGAAAGAGAGCCAGAACACAGGUGCUGCAUGGCCGUCGUCAGCUCGUGUCGUGAGAUGUUGGGUUAAGUCCCGCAACGAGCGCAACCCUUGUCAUUAGUUGCUACUAAAGGGCACUCUAAUGAGACUGCCGGUGACAAACCGGAGGAAGGUGGGGAUGACGUCAGGUCAUCAUGGCCCUUAUGGGUAGGGCUACACACGUCAUACAAUGGCCGGGACAGAGGGCUGCCAACCCGCGAGGGGGAGCUAAUCCCAGAAACCCGGUCGUAGUCCGGAUCGUAGUCUGCAACUCGACUGCGUGAAGUCGGAAUCGCUAGUAAUCGCGGAUCAGCUUGCCGCGGUGAAUACGUUCCCGGGUCUUGUACACACCGCCCGUCACACCAUGGGAGCGGGUUCUGCCAGAAGUAGUUAGCCUAACCGCAAGGAGGGCGACUACCACGGCAG
Molecule: ribosomal RNA, 847 nt
Filed under: uncultured bacterium
Lineage: Bacteria
Description: bacterial SSU rRNA
Rfam family: Bacterial small subunit ribosomal RNA
Source: RNAcentral